RNAcentral lists this long non-coding RNA (4527 nucleotides) under Sus scrofa (pig). Its description in RNAcentral is "lncRNA (ENSSSCG00015022991.1)". The record is from RNAcentral. Lineage: Eukaryota; Metazoa; Chordata; Mammalia; Artiodactyla; Suidae.
CUUCAGGAUUUUUCCGCUCUUACGUAAGCCACUGCCUGUGUAUGCAUUGCCUGACCCUCUCUGCAUCAUCUGGUGGAUAUUGGGGCUUGAGGACAAAAGCUGACACUCCAAGUACCCAUGGCUCAUUUCUCCAUCAAGUCUGUGUUCAAACUUAAACUUCUUGUAGAUGCUUAAAAACCCAUUAAUUUGAGACUAUCAUCAUCGCAAUCUUUAUCCCCCUUACCAUGCUCACUUCUCCCCCCCACCCAGUGCUUAUCACAUUUUCCAUGUAUCAUUUGCUUCCUUAUUUUAUUGUUCAUCAUCUUUCUCCCUCAUCUUCUUGGAGACAGAGAUCUUUUCCUUUUUAGCUCACCCAGGUAUUCCUAGUGUCUAAAACAGUGUCUGACACAUAGCAGAUGCUCAGUAACUGUGAAAACAAUGAGUAGAUUCACCUUUUAUUCUAUUCUACUACCAGCUUGUUUUAAUUCUGCCAUGAAAAUUCUCUAUGCACAUUAAAGUUUUGAAAAUUCAUUCAAAACAAAAUAGGUGUCAAAUGAAUUUCUGGUAUUAUUUUUAUUUUUCACUGAUUACAUUUUACACAUUUGACAAAGCUUGAAAUAAGUGUAUGGUCAUGAAUAGAAAUUUCUACUUUCUUCCCCUCUGUUCCAUGCAUGUUGAUCCCAAGGGCACUUUUUCAUGAAUAUUCUGCCUGCUAAACUCCAUCUAAGAAUUUCCUUCACAGGAAACCCGAACUGACCAGAGAUACUCAAUAUCAGGAAGGUUUUGAGAAAGCAGGUCUAAGAUGGGUUUUGGAACUGCAUUACGCACUGCCUGCUGGCAAAGAGGACCCAUAGCUGGUAGAAGGUAGAAUGCAGGUAGCCCCCUGAAUCAUCAAAUUGUUAAAAAUUUUACCAGUAGUGAGUUGGUAUGUAUGCAAGUGAAAGGCUGAAUCAACUGGUGUAAUGAACCACAAGUGUGAGAAAUAUGGGAGAAAUAGUAAGUUUAGGGACAGUGAGAUGCUAAAAUGACUCAGCCCUUCCUAUUCAAACGAGCUGCUCUUUUGUGCUUUGAGUUAAUAAAGAGGUUUCUCCUAAGCAAGAUAACAUGUUCCUUUUUCAGGAUCGAUUCCUAUUCCCCACUUAGUCCCUGAGUCUAUAGCUUGGCUUAAAUCACAGAAUAGCCUGGCUGGAGAAUGUGGUGCACCUGAUAGCAGAGGAAAAUGACUCUAUCCCAAAGGACAUGCAGGACCUUUCCAGUGCUGACAAAAGGCCGGAAAGUAUGUGUGUUGGAUUAAACUCAGGGUAUUGGAUCAAGAGGGCCAGUGCAUAAAGUUGGAUAAAGGAGAGUUUGACAACUUGAGAUCACUCUCCCAGAAUACUGGAUUUAACACUUAGAUAAUGACCCUGGGAGAUGGUACAAGUUUCUUAAUAGUAUGUCUUCUAGAAGCAUGGGAUAAGUGAGGUUGAGGUGGCCUGUGCUAACUGAAGUUUGAAUAGCAGAUAUGGCUUUAAGGCAGAGACUAGAAACAUGUUUAAAGGUUCAGGGAAGCAUGUAGACUAUGUAAGGCCAAAAGACAUGCCUUUUGGUGAUUAUGUGCCACUGGAAGUCCCUGAGGUUGUACAUUUACCAAAGCUAUAAAGAAUGCUGUUAGGAGGGACACUAGCAUCACUGAGACUAGUGGUGUUGUUUCUCUUAAGGACAAGGCUGAUGAUGAAAGUGAACUAGGAUUACUAAUAGCAAAAAGGUUGAUAGACUUGGAAAAACAGAGGUGACUUGAUGGGGUUAUCUGUGGGAAGUCAGGUAGAUGCAAUUUUCAUAUUUAAUGACAAAGUAGAAGGAGAAACAGAACUUAAAAAAUUUGAUAGAACACAAAGACCCUAGGAACAAAAUGAGUGAUCAGUAAACAAAGACACAUUCAAUUUGUAACAUCAAAAGAAACUAAAUGUAGAUGAUUAUGAGUUCAAGGGCAAUUGUCUAAUUUUCUUCCCAAUUUCUAUUUCUGAGCCAGUUUUUGGAUCCAGAGUCCACUGAUUAAAGAAAAAUCUGCCUUCCUUGGAAUAAUGGCCCUGAAAGAUUAUGGCACGUAUACUGAUUAAAGGUUCCCAUCCUUCCUCAAAGGGACUUAUGGCUAUUUACUUGGAUAGAAUUGUACAGUAGGUGCAGGUGAAUGCACAAACAUUUCAAAGACUACAAUGCACAGAAUCUGAGUUAUCACUAACAAGUGGAACCUGAGAGCGUCAUCAUAAGCUUCUGCUAGAAAGCUGGUGCAUAUGGGACAAGUGACCAGCUCCCAUCCAGAAGGCCAUCAAAAGUCAACUUAUUAGAACAAAAGACUCUGCUGUCACCCAGGAAAUCCCAAAGGAAUUAGGAGCCUUGUGUCAGAAACUGUGCCAAAGACCAAAUGUAAGAACGAAAGAUGCUCCUAGUGCCUUUUUUUGAGACUUAUUUUACAUAUAGUUUAGAUUCAGUGCCGUUGCAUGUUUGAUGUUUUUUGUUUUUUUUAAUUUUUAUAUAAAUUUUAUACAAGCAAAUAAAUAGGGAGUUUCCAUCAUGGCUCAGUGUUAGCAAAUCCAACUAGGAUUCAUGAGGAUGCAGAUUUGACCCCUGUCCAACCUCAGUGAUUUAAGGAUCCUGCAUUGCUGGGAGCUGUAGUUGCAGCUUUGGCUCAGAUCCACCAUUACCGUGGCUGUCUAGCCUGGGAACUUCCACAUGCCUGGGGUGUGGCCCUAAAAAGCCUGAUGAGCUCCAAGGUGGUGACUAAGAGACUGCCAUGUGGUAAGUACUCAGUGCAUAUUUUACAAAUCAUCAAAUGAAUAAAGUCAAUUAGGUGUAAAGGCAUUUCAAGAAGGAGGAACUACAUGGAAAACCCUGAAAGUUUGAGAUUGCAUAGUUAUUUGAUGUAACUCUAAGUAGUUCAAUGGAAUUAGCUACACUAAAGAAUAUUAACGUUGGUCAAUAUAUGAAGGAAAUCAUUUAAAUUGGCUAAUAUGUGUAACUACUCAGAAUAAAGCCUUGCAUGUUGGACCUAUUCUCUGGGUUGAUGGGUAGUGGCUAAGCAGGUCUCAGUUUCCCAGAGGCUGAUAAGCCCUGGUUUCUCCAGCCUCUGACUUGUGAAUCAGCUGGAGAGAAUACAGCAGAGAGGAUAGGGGCUCACAUCCUGAAGACAGUUGGCCAUACGCAGCAGAGUGUGUGUAAGCAGAGAGAGAUUUUAGUGGUUGUGGAACAGGUCUGUAAUCCUGCCUCUCCACUAGACAGCCAGGUAGGAUUAGACAGGUAGGCUUUGGAUUUCCCAGAGACUCAUUAUGAUUUGUAAUACAAGUUUAGUUAAUGAAAUGGUGAGAAAAAUAUCUCCUGCAUCUGUUUUGGUGAAUUUCUUUCAUUUUUCUAAAUAAUAUGAACCAAUGUACUAUCUUUGACGAAUACCAUUUGCAUUGUGGAAGGGAGUAAUUUGUUUAUCAGAUAUAGAGCAAAUCAGCAUCUCUCUCAGGCUAGAGGUGGACUGUUUUCUAGCAGGUGGAAACUAGCAUACCUAACAUCUAUGCUGGGCUAUCCCCCAGGUCCACUCUUUUCUCUUGCCCUGCAGCACUGGCCUCUGUAGGCCGAUUGCCCAGGCUUCAGGGGCAGCAAACCUGCAGCUGACUGCAGCCAAUGGGAGGUGCUGCUGGAAAGUGCAGGGUGAUAUUGGGGCUGGCAAAGGGGUGGUUAAGCAGGAGAUGAAAACACUGGAGUGUUUUCCCUCCUUCUCUUUCUCCUCCUGGUGCAGUUCUAAGGUGGGGACAGUGCCUUCUCUGUGGCUCCAGCUCUCAGUGGGAAGUCCUUGCCCCCAGUGAACAGUCCCUGCCAUGAUUCCAGCUUCAUGGGGAUGUGAUUCUGGCUCUUGCCCUCCGCUAACGGUCCCUCUUCUCUUUGUCUCUCCUGCCUAUGGGUGGUAAUAGCUUCAUGUUGGUCCUAAUACCUGGAAUUACUCACCAUCACCUAUUUGGCUUUCUAGCCAUCCAUCGUCCAUGUAGAAAAGACAUCUCUGUAAAAGAGUCCUUCUGUUGUAAAUACUUUUUGAGGACUCUUUCUGAUUAUGGCCUCAUUGAUAAAAUAUCCUAUAAAACAACAUAAAAAAAGACAUCUUUUCUUUUCCUUAAGUUGCACCAACAGGACCACAAAACUUUGUCUAAUCAUAACAGAAUUAGUCUUUACUACCUUAUAAGUCUGAUUUUGGGGAGUUGAGUAGAUUCUGCUAUACUGUAUUUUCAAUAGCUAGGCAUCCUUAGGAAGAAUAAUUGGAACUACAGGAAUGGAGGAGUUCCCUUUGUGGCUCAGCAGUAACAAACCUGACUAGCAUCAAUGAGGAUGUGGGUCCAAUCCCUGGCCCUGCUCAGUGGGUUAAGAUCUGGUGUUGCUGUGAGCUGUAGUGUCGGUCGCAGACACGGCUCAGAUUUAGUGUGGAUGUGGCUGGGGCAUAGGCUGGCAGCUAUAGUUCUGAUUCAAUCCCUAGCCUGGGAACUUCCAUAUGCCACAGAUACAGCCCCUAAAACGCAAAAAAAAGAAAAAAAA